GUCUACGGCCAUGCUACCCUGAACAAGCCCGAUCCCAUUGGAUCUCGGAAGCUAAGCAGGGUCUGGCCUGGUUAGUACCUGGAUGGGAGACCACCUAGGAAGACCAGGUGCUGCAGCCA
This is a non-coding RNA of Pteropus alecto (black flying fox), 119 nucleotides long. The record is from Rfam. NCBI's taxonomy places the organism in Eukaryota, Metazoa, Chordata, Mammalia, Chiroptera, Pteropodidae.